GUGGGGAAUCUUAGACAAUGGGGGCAACCCUGAUCUAGCCAUGCCGCGUGGAUGAUGAAGGUCUUAGGAUUGUAAAAUCCUUUCACCGGUGAAGAUAAUGACUGUAGCCGGAGAAGAAGCCCCGGCUAACUUCGUGCCAGCAGCCGCGGUAAUACGAAGGGGGCUAGCGUUGCUCGGAUUUACUGGGCGUAAAGGGCGCGUAGGCGGACAUUUAAGUCAGGGGUGAAAUCCCGGGGCUCAACCUCGGAACUGCCUUUGAUACUGGGUGUCUUGAGUAUGAGAGAGGUGUGUGGAACUCCGAGUGUAGAGGUGAAAUUCGUAGAUAUUCGGAAGAACACCAGUGGCGAAGGAGACACACUGGCUCAUUACUGACGCUGAGGCGCGAAAGCGUGGGGAGCAAACAGGAUUAGAAACCCUGGUAGUCC
Molecule: ribosomal RNA, 425 nt
Filed under: uncultured bacterium
Lineage: Bacteria
Description: partial 16S ribosomal RNA
Rfam family: Bacterial small subunit ribosomal RNA
Source: RNAcentral